Molecule: ribosomal RNA, 497 nt
Filed under: uncultured bacterium
Lineage: Bacteria
Description: partial 16S ribosomal RNA
Rfam family: Bacterial small subunit ribosomal RNA
Source: RNAcentral
GAUGAACGCUGGCGGCGUGCCUAAUACAUGCAAGUCGAGCGAACAGACGAGGAGCUUGCUCCUCUGACGUUAGCGGCGGACGGGUGAGUAACACGUGGAUAACCUACCUAUAAGACUGGGAUAACUUCGGGAAACCGGAGCUAAUACCGGAUAAUAUAUUGAACCGCAUGGUUCAAUAGUGAAAGACGGUUUUGCUGUCACUUAUCGAUGGAUCCGCGCCGCAUUAGCUAGUUGGUAAGAUAACGGCUUACCAAGGCAACGAUGCGUAGCCGACCUGAGAGGGUGAUCGGCCACACUGGAACUGAGACACGGUCCAGACUCCUACGGGAGGCAGCAGUAGGGAAUCUUCCGCAAUGGGCGAAAGCCUGACGGAGCAACGCCGCGUGAGUGAUGAAGGUCUUCGGAUCGUAAAACUCUGUUAUUAGGGAAGAACAAAUGUGUAAGUAACUAUGCACGUCUUGACGGUACCUAAUCAGAAAGCCACGGCUAACUACGUG